RNAcentral lists this ribosomal RNA (264 nucleotides) under uncultured bacterium. RNAcentral describes it as "partial 16S ribosomal RNA". It matches the Rfam family "Bacterial small subunit ribosomal RNA", at positions 793 to 1055 of the family's 1533-position model. The record is from RNAcentral.
GUCCACGCCGUAAACGAUGGGUACUAGGCGCCGGGGGAGCGACCCCUUCGGUGCCGUCGCUAACGCAAUAAGUACCCCGCCUGGGGAGUACGGCCGCAAGGCUGAAACUCAAAGGAAUUGACGGGGGCCCGCACAAGCGGUGGAGCAUGUGGUUUAAUUCGAAGCAACGCGAAGAACCUUACCUGGGCUUGACAUGCACGGGAAAGCUGGUGGAAACAUCGGCCCCUCUUCGGAGUCCGUGCACAGGUGCUGCAUGGCUGUCGU